CAUGUAUUUAUCAUGUCAUUCUAUAUUUUUGCAUGCAUUCUUCAUGCCAUCUCAUGUUCUUGCAUGCAUCAAAAUAGAAGGGGGCUCUUCUAGGUCGCAUCCUGGAUGGACAUGUUCCUCCAGUAUAGCUACCGCUGAGUCCUUCACGGUGCUUUAGGCUAGUAAGCAACUUUGCAUGUCAUAUCUCCAUUUUUAAGGGAGAUGCUGUCGAAAUUUUCAAAAAAUGGGUAACUUCUUCUUUUGUGGAUGUCCCUGACGCAGAGCCUAAACUGCAGGGUUUCUAUGGCACCUGUCUGUCUUAUGUCGAGAGGGAAAUUGCAGAGCAGCGUGCAUUGAGAGCUGACUGUGUUCCUGAGUAGAAUGCCGCUAUGGUUAAAAAAUUUGUCCUUGAAGCACGCAACACUUAACAUGUGGCUAAAUUGAGGGUCUUGUUAAAGGAGAUAGGGAGGUUAUCUCGCCGUUAUUGUGAGGAAAGAGGAGCACUAAUCCGGCUUUUGAGAAAAUUCAAGAUGAGAAUGUGAAGCAGAGUAAGCUUGACGUCCGUGUGCCAGCAGUGGAUUUGACUAUUGAACAACUUAGCCUGGCCGAAUCAAGGAGCACAUGGAGGCAGCUUCCAAGAAGUCUGAAGAUGGAAAUGUCUUCUAAGGCUCUUUGUGAUCUUUGAGGGUGCUUGGCUUAGUUUUCCUCUUUUUACCUUGUGUAAGGCCUUGAGCCAUGACAUGUAGCCUUUCUUUGCGCUUGAAGAUGAAUGUUUUUUUUCCGUCUUUAAUAUCUCAUUCCACUUGAGGUUGCAAGCUUGCAACUC
RNAcentral lists this long non-coding RNA (805 nucleotides) under Amborella trichopoda. RNAcentral describes it as "long non-coding RNA (ATRI_LNC001117)". Lineage: Eukaryota; Viridiplantae; Streptophyta; Magnoliopsida; Amborellales; Amborellaceae. The record is from RNAcentral.